UCCUCAAGUUCAUCUCUAGGACGCUGCCAUGACUUAUAAUUGGUCUUCCAGUUGAUUGGGGGACCCGAAAGUACCCAAUAACCACCCGGCCUCAGAACUCGAUCAACUUCCAUUAGGUAUGUUCCAUCUGCAAUAAAAGAUUAGAUAUCACCUAUAAAAUUAUCGACACUGCUUGGUUUUUGUAAGGUACAUUUUAUAAGUUAUAAUUAACAGGAAAGGUCAAAAAAUAAACUAAAUGCUCUAAUAAUAAUUCUCACCAUUUCCACCCCAAGGAAUUAAGCAUCGAGAACAAUGAGCCAUGUCAAAGGCUCUAGAUGGGUAAGGCAGCUUAAUAGUACCCAGAACACCAAUAACUGCCGGCACUCCUCUUUCAAGAGCAAAUUGAACCUGUGCUUCAUGAGAGUCUCGUGGUGCAAAUGAC
This 421-nucleotide long non-coding RNA is filed under the name Cucumis sativus (cucumber). RNAcentral's name for it is "long non-coding RNA (CSAT_LNC000588)". The record is from RNAcentral. Lineage: Eukaryota; Viridiplantae; Streptophyta; Magnoliopsida; Cucurbitales; Cucurbitaceae.